ACGAACGCUGGCGGCGUGCUUAACACAUGCAAGUCGAACGGUGAAGGGAUCAGCUUGCUGGUUCUGGAUGAGUGGCGAACGGGUGAGUAACACGUGAGUAACCUGCCCCCUUCUUCUGGAUAACCGCAUGAAAGUGUGGCUAAUACGGGAUAUUCUGCGCCUGCUGCAUGGUGGGUGUGGGAAAGAUAUUGUUUCGGUGGGGGAUGGGCUCGCGGCCUAUCAGCUUGCUGGUGGGGUGAUGGCCUACCAAGGCGGUGACGGGUAGCCGGCCUGAGAGGGUGGACGGUCACACUGGGACUGAGACACGGCCCAGACUCCUACGGGAGGCAGCAGUGGGGAAUAUUGCACAAUGGGCGCAAGCCUGAUGCAGCGACGCCGCGUGAGGGAUGGAGGCCUUCGGGUUGUGAACCUCUUUCGCCAGUGAAGCAGGCCUGUCCCUUGUGGGUGGGUUGACGGUAGCUGGAUAAGAAGCGCCGGCUAACUACGUG
Molecule: ribosomal RNA, 488 nt
Filed under: uncultured bacterium
Lineage: Bacteria
Description: partial 16S ribosomal RNA
Rfam family: Bacterial small subunit ribosomal RNA
Source: RNAcentral